This 68-nucleotide transfer RNA is filed under the name Marmota monax (woodchuck). Its description in RNAcentral is "tRNA.Ala". The record is from RNAcentral. Lineage: Eukaryota; Metazoa; Chordata; Mammalia; Rodentia; Sciuridae.
GGAUUGUGGCUCAGUGGUAAAGUGCUCACCUAGCACAUGUGAGGCACUGGGUUCAAUUCUCAGUACCA